Molecule: ribosomal RNA, 638 nt
Filed under: uncultured bacterium
Lineage: Bacteria
Description: bacterial SSU rRNA
Rfam family: Bacterial small subunit ribosomal RNA (bases 1-532)
Source: RNAcentral
CCUACGGGAGGCAGCAGUGGGGGAAUCUUGCGCAAUGGGCGAAAGCCUGACGCAGCCAUGCCGCGUGAAUGAUGAAGGUCUUUAGGAUUGUAAAAAUUACUUUCACCGGGGACGAUAAUGACGGUACCCGGAGAAGAAGCCCCGGCUAACUUCGUGCCAGCAGCCGCGGUAAUACGAAGGGGGCUAGCGUUGCUCGGAAUUACUGGGCGUAAAGGGAGCGUAGGCGGAUAGUUUAGUCAGAGGUGAAAGCCCAGGGCUCAACCUUGGAAUUAGCCUUUGAUACUGGCUAUCUUGAGUAUGGGAGAGGUUAGCGGAACUCCGAGUGUAGAGGUGAAAUUCGUAGAUAUUCGGAAGAACACCAGUGGCGAAGGCGGCUAACUGGCCCAUUACUGACGCUGAGGCUCGAAAGCGUGGGGAGCAAACAGGAUUACGAUACCCUGGUAGUCCACGCCGUAAACGAUGAGUGCUAGUUGUCGGGCAUGCAUGCAUGUCGGUCGGACGCGAGCUAACCGACAGUUAAGUACACUCCGCCGUCGGGGAGGUACGGUCGGACGAAGAAGUUAAACGUUAACUAAAGUAGUUAAGUUAGUACGGUUCGUUGAGACGUUCGCCGACGGGACGACGACGAGGGGAGGAGG